GCGGGGCAAGUCGGGCUCGCCUGAGAGGGGGAGGGGUAAAGACACACGUGUGUGCAUCACAUUGUGCAAAGUGACAUUUGCACGGGAGUCCCCGCGUCUCCCCGGUUGGAAAACCGCGUCGUGGCGCCCGCUGCCCGGGCGUGGCCCUCCUUGGCGCGCACUGGGGGGACCUGCGGAUGAGCAGGCCGCAGGGGGUCCGCGGGGUGCAGAACGUGAAAAACCCGGGCUACCUUUAAACACACUGAUCCUAGCAUCUCUGACCGAGAAGACACUUUAUUGCCCGAUUCAGAUUCACCUCUCUUUGAGUUCUCGAGCUUCCCUCGCCCAGGACGCACUGGAAGGCGCUCAUAUCUCCAGGGACAGGGAGUCCUCUGUGCUUUUCUUUCUUUUUUUUCUUUCUUUCUUUCUUUCUUUCUUUUUUUUUUUAAAUCAACAUCGCCGAAAAGCAUUUCCUUCCACGUAUCCAUUGCUCUCGACUUCUGGACUUUACACAAUAAAUCUGAUCUAACUUCCACAUGACAGCUCCAAGUUCCCUCAUCAACCCUAGUCUGAUUUUCCACGUUCUUCCUCUAGUAUGCUGCUGGGAACAAGACGCAGUCCUGAAAGUGUUCUACAAGCACAUAGAAAGGGUCGUCCUCGUCCAGACUGUGCAUUUGUUGAUGCAGCCUCGAAUGGAGUUUAUUUUCUGGCAGCCAAGGUUAUCUGGUGAUAUUUGGGGGAGUUCAAUAACCUGGAAGUCCCACCGAGACCCUAUUGAAGAUCCCCUUUGUGCCAAAGCCCGAGACCCUCAAUUCAGAAAUGGGGAGCCACCGUGGCCUGCAAUGAUGAGGGGUACAACUGGAACAAAUUCAAACGGAAGCAGAUGCGAGAAGGUCAGUAGAAAUAUUUUUGUGUAA
Long non-coding RNA from Canis lupus familiaris (dog), 896 nucleotides. RefSeq lists it as uncharacterized. The record is from RefSeq and is a predicted model, not a curated record. NCBI's taxonomy places the organism in Eukaryota, Metazoa, Chordata, Mammalia, Carnivora, Canidae. The transcript has 4 exons.